This 469-nucleotide ribosomal RNA is filed under the name uncultured bacterium. RNAcentral describes it as "bacterial SSU rRNA". It matches the Rfam family "Bacterial small subunit ribosomal RNA", at positions 1 to 516 of the family's 1533-position model. The record is from RNAcentral.
AGGGGGUUUGAUCCUGGCUCAGGGUGAACGCUGGCGGCGUGGAUAAGGCAUGCAAGUCGAAUGGGGCAUUUAGCCCCAUGGCAGACGAGGUAGUAACACGUAGGUUACGUACCCUAUAGUCGGGCAUAAUCAGUCGAAAGAUUGGAUAAUUCCCGAUAGUCCCUUCGGGGUAAAGAUUUAUCGCUAUAGGAACGGCCUGCGAGAUAUCAGCUUGUUGGUAGUGUAAAGGACUACCAAGGCUAUGACGUCUAGGGGAGGUGAGAGCCUGACCCCCACCGAUGGGACUGAGACACGGCCCAUACUCCUACGGGAGGCCGCAGUCGAGAAUCUUCCGCAAUGGGCGAAAGCCUGACGGAGCGACGCCGCGUGAUUGAUGAAGCACUUCGGUGCGUAAAAAUCUUUUAUCAGGGACGAAGUUUAUUGACGGUACCUGAUGAAUAAGGGGCUCCCAAACUCGUGCCCAGCAGGA